This 474-nucleotide ribosomal RNA is filed under the name uncultured bacterium. Its description in RNAcentral is "bacterial SSU rRNA". It matches the Rfam family "Bacterial small subunit ribosomal RNA", at positions 30 to 521 of the family's 1533-position model. The record is from RNAcentral.
AUUGAACGCUGGCGGCAGGCCUAACACAUGCAAGUCGAGCGGUAGAGAGGUGCUUGCAUCUCUUGAGAGCGGCGGACGGGUGAGUAAUGCCUAGGAAUCUGCCUAGUGGUGGGGGAUAACGUUCGGAAACGGACGCUAAUACCGCAUACGUCCUACGGGAGAAAGCGGGGGAUCUUCGGACCUCGCGCCAUUAGAUGAGCCUAGGUCGGAUUAGCUAGUUGGUGAGGUAAUGGCUCACCAAGGCGACGAUCCGUAACUGGUCUGAGAGGAUGAUCAGUCACACUGGAACUGAGACACGGUCCAGACUCCUACGGGAGGCAGCAGUGGGGGAAUAUUGGACAAUGGGCGAAAGCCUGAUCCAGCAAUGCCGCGUGAGUGAUGAAGGCCUUAGGGUUGUAAAGCUCUUUUACCAGGGAUGAUAAUGACAGUACCUGGAGAAUAAGCUCCGGCUAACUCCGUGCCAGCAGCCGCGGU